GCAUUAGUGGUGUAAAACAACACAUAAUAUUUUCAUUAUUAAACUGAGAUUUUUAUUCUCCUAAAGCU
RNAcentral lists this transfer RNA (68 nucleotides) under Axianassa australis. RNAcentral describes it as "tRNA-Glu". Lineage: Eukaryota; Metazoa; Arthropoda; Malacostraca; Decapoda; Axianassidae. The record is from RNAcentral.